ACUCCACCACUGGUAACCAGGGAUACCGAGUCGGGGAAUUGGAGGAGCUGAGUUAACGAGUUGAGAGAGUUUCUCGUCCAAUGUGAGUCUGGAAACAAGGUCUCUGGUUCGUUGUGUGAUGGGAAGCUUUGGGUUGCAAAAUGGGUAGGAUCUGGAGGAUGGAUUUGAAGAGUCACAAGCAAAUGGAGGUGGUUGAGUGAGGGCCAGGUUGAGGAAAAGGAAGAUGAUGGUGAGAAAGGUAAAGGUGGUAGAUGAGAGGGUCAUAGUGUGAAGUGAGAGUGUGAAACUGAAACUUGCAUUAUUGAGCUGAGAAUUGUUCUUGUUAUAGAGAGACAAGACUAGUUACUAUACUAAAGGUAAUCACUACUUACUUUAUCUUAUUUUAUUUGCUAAUUAUUAUGUCUCAAUAAAUGUGUCCCACAUGUAAAACUUUCAAUUCAAUCACUAACCCUUUUAAGGAUUGAGUUUACAAGGAAUGUAAGUAUGAAUAUAAAUCAUCAAACAAUUAAGAUUGAUUAAUAAAGAUAAUAUUUAAAUGUUUGUUGGCGAGUUGAUUUUUGGAACAACUUGUUUUCAAAUAAAAUAUCAAAAUCGAAGCUCUGGUGUUUAAAUUAAGAAUGAGUAAUUUGUGUAUGUAAUUGUGCUCUUGUUUUGACUUUAGGCUUUAUAGCUUUAACUUGUUUGUUUUUGACAAUUUUCUAGAAGGGUGACUUGUUUUAAGUCCAUUUAGGUCGGAUGUUUUAAGUCCAUUUAGGUUGGAAUAUAUUUGAGCCAAAUCAAGUACAUUUUGAAUCCAUUCAAGUUUUUUUUUUAGUUCUUUAUGACUUUAGGAGUCAAAACACAUUUUGGUGGGAAUUAAUUCAAGGUGUUUUUGAAUACUUAUAUACUUUGUGAAUCGAUUCAAUGUUCUAUUUGAAUCAUUCAAGUGAACUGAAUCAUGUAUUAGCAUGAAUCGAUUCAAUUUGCAUCAAGUUGAUGCAAUAACAUUUGAAUCGAAUAAAAAUUGAAAGACGAUUGAAUCGUUGCUCAUAUGAAUCGACUCAUUUGUUCAUUUGAAUCGAAUUAAGGAGAUCAAGUGGAUUUGAAUCUCCAAUGUAAAGGAAGAAAAAGUUUGUCUCCUCCUAAGUGUGGAAAGUUUUCUUAAGGAAUUUUUUGGAGGAUUCUGAAUGAGCUUAAUCAUAUACAUAUAAGGGAAUAAGAUUUUGGAUGGAUGAUCAUAUAAGUUGAAGGAAAGAAGGAAAAUCUAAAGAUAUGGAAGAUCUUGAGUGGUCUAGAGCAUACAUCAUAUUUCAAUAUUAGUUGAAGUUGGAUCUUAGAGAAAUAUGUAGUUAAGCAGCAUAAUACUAGUAGAUUUAUAAAAAUUUCGCUCUUAUAACUAUGACUCUUGUACAACCUGAUAAACAUACAGUUCAAGAUAAAUUUGCAUGGUUUACCAUCAGAGAAAUGGCUCAUAUCAAAGAAUUUGCAACGAAGAUAAGAUUUUCAAGAGAUAUAGUUCACGAGUUGUGCCAAGAGAGAUGGAAGUAGGUGGCCUCAUACCCAAACAAAACUUCCUAAAUGGAUUAUAUUAAACAAAGGUAUAAAAAUAAACCCCAAACCAAAGCUUUUAACAGAUUUACCUUCUAACCAAAACAAAAUUUCCUAAAUGGAUAAUAUUCAACCAAGGUAUAAAAAACCCUUGGUGAAUUUUACAAUUAUAUCUUUCCAGAAUUAUAGUUUAUUCUCACUCACAAAAGAAUUUUCUCGCAUAGGACUUCAGCUAUAAUUUAAGUGAGAGAAAGUAAACGAAAAAGUUUAGAGAGAAAGAGAGUAUGUGUAUGUGAGUUGUGUCAAAAUACGAUUUUGGACGAUAUAAAAUGAGGGAAGUGACCUCUAUUUAUAGGCUAGAGGUUGACUCAAAAAGGAAUUUUAAAUAAAUGUAUUUUAUGACAAUCUAAUUGAUUAACACAACAUUAAGUUUUAAAAAGGAACGAAAAUAUAUCUAGUCGUUAUACAUCAUUAAGGCAUUGUUCUAAUCACUUAGGACUCAAUUUUUACAGCUCCCAAUUCACUUGGCACAAUUUCAACAUAUUUUUGAAGAUAUUUUUUUGAAGAAAAAUAAUUUGAAAAAGUGUUUUAGUAUGUGUGUGUUUUUUAGCCACGCAUUUUUACGAUAGAACCCUUAUGCUUUACAAUUGGUUCAUUCACUACUAAUAUAUGAGGAUCCUUAGCACUUCAAGACUUUUUCAGAUGCGUUCUCUUUUGUAGACACUUGCUUGAGUAGCUUGAGAUGAUGCUCCACUUACAUUCCAUUUGAUUAUCAUCAUCGAAUAGCAAGUCCAUCAAACCCUAAUACUUAGGUUUGCAUCUUAUCCACUUAACUGUUUAUGCUUGACUUGUUAGAAGACAUUAGUUAUCAUCAUCAAAAGUUAAUUUCUUUGUUAAAAGCAUAUCACCUGCAAACGAAGGUUCCACGUUCUCCCCUUUUUUUAUGAUGACAACACAUUUCUUAUGGUAGGUGGUAAAUGAAAAACAAUACAUAGAUGUUUUGAGUAAUUAAACUCCAUUGAGUUAAAUAAAGAGUAUACCCUACUCCCUUUGAGAGUAUACUUUUUCCUCUUUUGAAAAUAAAAAAGGUGGGUAAAGAUGUAUUUGCUAAAAAUAAAUAUGCAAACAAGGAAAAUUUAGACAUUUAGAGAAUGAAAAACAAACACUCAUAUUAUUACUAAGAAACUCAAAUUACAUAAGGGAAAUUUGCGAAAUUGAAAGUAUAAGAAAGAAAAUACUAAAUUUAAAGUUUGCAGGAAAGAAAAAAGAAAAAAUAGGAAAAACACAUAAAGUGAGGUUAUUAUAUGCCAUAAGUUUCACCAUUCCUUUCCAUGAAUUUCUUCAUAUCCUUGGCUAUGGUUUGGCAGAGAUUGAUUAUUUUUUCUGUCUUGGUGCUCUCGCCCUCAGUUGGUUCAUCUUCUUCUUUUUCCUUAGAUGAUGAAUCUUCUUCUAUCUCUUCAUGCUUGAUAUGAACUUUAAUCUCUUUAAAGGCAUUAUAGGUGAUCAUAUGGUUUGUUGAGUCUUCUUUUUCAUCCAUUGUGCCAACAUUUAAGGUGGAUAGAAGUCAUGUGAUUUUUUAUUCAUAUGGUAGUCCUGCAUAUGGGUUUUCUUUGCACUAGACCAUGUGGUUAAAAAUGCCUUUGUCAUACGGUGAACUGACUUGGGGUGUUUUGCUUUUUAUCGCAAUGUCGCGGAUAGCAAGAGUCGCCACCGACUUUUCUUUUAUCCAAUAAGGAAAGGUGGAAAAGAACAGGAAAGACCUCCAGAAAGAGAGAUUAAGUAACUGGCUUCACUAAACAGUUAAGGUCCUAAACAAAAGUAAUGUAAGAACUUGAAAUAGAAGCACAUCCAUCAUCUAAACAUCAUUACAUUUAGCAUUAAGUACAUUUUAUGGUCUGGUAUCUUGAAAAAUAUCAUGUUCAUAAACAGGUUCACGAUAUUAGCUUUACCUGUUGAAGAAUUAAAUAUGUAGCAUCAAACAAUGACAUCUAUUAGGUAUUCUUCAUCUCCUACAAGCAAAAAAUGAGACCCUUCUUCUAUUGAUCUUUAAACCAGCCUCGUUCGCUCGACUAAGAUGCUCGCACGGACUCAAGCCAAGAAUCCAACAUGGCUCAUUUCCCCGCAUUAACAACAAACUAUGAAAACCAACCAAUUGUUUCCCCAGGACUUCCAAUUCUCUUGUUUUCCGCGGUCUCAUAAACAGCAAUAUAGGAUGCCUCCCCACCAUGUUUUCCUGGUUUUGACACCAAUUGUGACUGAAACGGACAUGCUUUGCAGGUGUCUUCACUCAACUCUGAAAACUAGUUUGUACCUUAUGGUUUUCUGAAUUUUCAAUCUGUCAAAUGAGUGGACGAUAGAUUUGAAAUAAAGUCUGUCAUGUGUGUAACAGAAACAAACUCGUAGGAAUAUUUGUGUAGCUUAGUCCGUGGCAAAUUCAUACAUGUAGACCUUGUAAAAUCUGUAAGUUCUUUCCGGGGUAGCCGUUGAUGGAUCAGCUCUCAUCUCUCAUUUGUCUGUCAUUGGCACUUUUAUGUAAUCUUUUGGGUACCAAGUAAUUGGUAGUCUCCUCCUGCAUUGCAUUGAUAACUAAAAUUGAGUAAUAAAAUUGUAAAUCUACAAACAAUCUUGCCGCAUAAAAGUGUGACAAAAGUUCUCAUUUUCAUGAACCAAUUGUAUAAUACUGACUCUCUUAUGUUUGUUCAAAUAGUUCACGUGUGCAAUUUUAUAGAAGGAAAUUACCUGGAUGUGUGAUCACCAAAGAUAAUUUGAGGCAAGCGCGAUGCCUCAGAAGUUCACCAGGAUAACCAGCCCAAAUGAUCCUCCAAUUUUUACGUCAUAUUUGUGAACUAAUAUCUACAGGGCCUCCCACAAAGGAGCACCAAAAUAACUGGUCGCUUAGAAGCUUUGGCAAUCAUUGUUAACGAGUUCAAGUUGCUUGCUGCAAGUCAAGGUGAACGCGAUCGCGUUCUUUCCCUCUCUUAACUUUGAUCCAACCCAUAACCAAAAUCACAUAAUCAACUUCUUUGCAACUUCAACUGCUUGGUCUAUUUGCGUUGAAGCACACUUUGGUCCCCCAUCACAGCCAGGAUGAAAACAGCAUCCUUAACAGUAAUGUCGAAACCCUUGGAGUAUAGUGAUAUAUUUACAAGGAGGACCGCGUAGUUUCCUAGAAGAGUUAAAGGUGAAGCAUUGGCAUUAGGACCUAUCACUGCUUAAGGAAAAUACUACUUGUUUUUGGCAGUGGAAGAGUGAAGCAGUGUUCUUUAAAAGUUCAAUGCCGUUUCUUGCAGCUUCGAGUGCUAGAUAUAAUGAUUUUCGAACAGACGUGAUUGCGACCAAUCAUUCCAUGGAAGCUGGUUGGAUUCCACCAAAUAAUCUUAGCCUUAUUCUAAUUGAAAAUAGAUUGUGAAGAGCACGGUCGAUUUGAAUAUAGGUAACUUUUCUGAGCCGACACUGCUGAUUUGCAUGGUCUGUCAAAUAAGUUCACAUUCCAAAUCCAUCCCUGCAAAUCCAAAAGCAUUUCAUUAUGAUAUCUAAAUUAUUACAAAGGGUUAGUUGAGACUGAGAAACACAUGGCUAUGUAGUGAUAUAGUACAACAGGUGGCCAAAACCAUAUGACUCUUAUGCCUACUAUGAAUUUAUAAUUACUAUCAUGCGGUAGAUAUUCAAAGCCAUACAAACAGACAAAAGAUAAGUGACAAAUGCUCAUGAGUAGCAUUAAAGCUAACGAGUUAGGUAAUUUACCUUUACACUGUGUGAUUUCAUUUCACUCAUUACCAAGAUUUACUUGUAUUGAUAUUAUUAUUAGCAUUAUUACAUAAUAAGCAAAGCAAGAAACAAUGAUAACAAUCUAAAAAGAUGGAUAGGUUCCAAAAUAUUAUCCAGCAUGCAUAACAUCGGCUACAGCACUUCGGCUGAUUUGCAUAUCCUUGCUCGUCAUGUAUGAUACCAACAGCUCCACAAUCUGAUGCAAUAUACCCUGAUUAAUUCACCCCAAACAUUAGACCUAAUUAACACUAACAACCAUGAAUAGAUAUGGUCAAAAAUGAAAGUGAUUAAUCACCGUGAAAUCCCAUUGUUUUCUAACUGUAUCUGUUAAGAGAUUGAAAUCAGCACAACUUGGAACACCAUUUACACGGUUAUAAGCACACAUUAUCACUAGCCCGUCCUUGCUCUACGCAACUACGAAAUGGUGGCUGAUAUGUGUCAGCCAAAUCUUGCAAACUCACCUGAAUCAUAAAAGUCAUGGCAAUUCGGUAUCACAAUUCAAUAAUUGUCCAUGAGGCGUCAACGCUCGUGUAAGAGUUUGACUUUGUAAUAACAAAGAGACGAACUACUUUAGCAUCGAAGUGAAUCGAUUAACGCCCUUCCAAUUGUCCAAAUCAUGGCAAGUGAAAUGUUUGCAACAAGCAAAGCUUGAAGGUGUCCCUUAACUUACCACCUUGAAAUGAUCACCUUGAAGUCCUCUAACAUAGGAAACAGCAUAGUUAGAAGUCAUCAUAGGAUCUUCACCAGCUGUUCUUGUCCUCUACCCCAUCUUGGAUCCUAAAUAUGUUUUAGUUUGGUGCCCAAAAUGUCAUCCCCAUUGCUUGCCCUCCAUUGUACAUUGCUCUAGCUUCAUCCCAAUUACCUAUUUCAUUUCCACAUUAAUUCAAAAACAAUAACACACUUAGCUAAAUGGUCUAGUAGUAAGUUAUUUCAUAUCGUUACCAAAACUCCAACUAGUCUACAAUUACCAACACUUCUGAACAAAGACGUCUCUGGUGUCCAUAUCACGUCCAUAUUACGACCAAAUUAUUACUGAUGUUGACUGUUCGGUGCUAGUUAACAAUAUAUUAUUGGACUGGAGGAUCAAAUGUACCUGACCGAUUCGGUACAAGGUGAGAAUCAAGUAGCUGCGGUGAGGAUAACUUGAGGGAAGCUAGUUGCGGAAGUGAUAGUGCCAUUGAAGAAGAUGCCUUGUCCAACAUUGCCAACUCCAUGAAGUGCUUCACUCACCACUGGUAACCAGGGAUACGAGUCGGGGAAUUGGAGGAGCUGAGUUAACGAGUUGAGAGAGUUUCUCGUCCAAUGUGAGUCUGGAAACAGGUCUCUGGUUCGUUGUGUGAUGGGAAGCUUUGGGUUGCAAAAUGGGUAGGAUCUGGAGGAUGGAUUUGAAGAGUCACAAGCAAAUGGAGGUGUUGAGUGAGGCCAGGUUGAGGAAAAGGAAGAAUGGUGAGAAAGGUAAAGGUGGUAGAUGAGAGGGUCAUAGU
RNAcentral lists this long non-coding RNA (6779 nucleotides) under Lathyrus oleraceus (garden pea). RNAcentral's name for it is "Pisum sativum (pea) long non-coding RNA (PSAT_LNC021440)". Lineage: Eukaryota; Viridiplantae; Streptophyta; Magnoliopsida; Fabales; Fabaceae. The record is from RNAcentral.